RNAcentral lists this small nuclear RNA (100 nucleotides) under Neotoma lepida (desert woodrat). Lineage: Eukaryota; Metazoa; Chordata; Mammalia; Rodentia; Cricetidae. The record is from RNAcentral.
UGAGAACUGUGCUCAAUUCCAAUGCACUAAAACUGGAAUGAGUUUAGCAUGGCCCCGGUGUAAGGAUGACAUGCAAANUGGUGAUGUAUUCUGUAUUUUU